GAUGAAGAACGUAGCGAAAUGCGAUACUUGGUGUGAAUUGCAGAAUCCCGUGAACCAUCGAGUCUUUGAACGCAAGUUGCGCCUCAAGCCAUUAGGUUGAGGGCACGUCUGCCUGGGCGUCACAUAUCGUUGCCUGAUGCCAGUUUCCUCGUGAUGGGUGACUGUGCAGGGCGAAUGAUGGCUUCCCGUGAGCAUUGUUGCCUCCUGGUUGGUUGAAAAUUGAGUCCUUGGUAGGGAGCGCCGUGAUAGAUGGUGGUUGAGUGACGAACGAGACCCAAUCAUGUGAGACCCCUACCGAAUUUGGCCUUCAUGACCCACAUGCGUCUUUGGAACGCUCAUGACGAGACCUCAGGUCAGGCGGGGCUACCCGCUGAGUUUAAGCAUAUCAAUAAGCGGAGGA
Molecule: unclassified non-coding RNA, 400 nt
Filed under: soil metagenome
Description: partial contains 5.8S ribosomal RNA, internal transcribed spacer 2, and large subunit ribosomal RNA
Rfam family: 5.8S ribosomal RNA (bases 1-122)
Source: RNAcentral